This 484-nucleotide ribosomal RNA is filed under the name uncultured bacterium. RNAcentral describes it as "partial 16S ribosomal RNA". It matches the Rfam family "Bacterial small subunit ribosomal RNA", at positions 30 to 507 of the family's 1533-position model. The record is from RNAcentral.
AUUGAACGCUGGCGGCAGGCCUAACACAUGCAAGUCGAGCGGAUGAAGGGAGCUUGCUCCUGGAUUCAGCGGCGGACGGGUGAGUAAUGCCUAGGAAUCUGCCUGGUAGUGGGGGAUAACGUCCGGAAACGGGCGCUAAUACCGCAUACGUCCUGAGGGAGAAAGUGGGGGAUCUUCGGACCUCACACUAUCAGAUGAGCCUAGGUCGGAUUAGCUAGUUGGUGGGGUAAAGGCCUACCAAGGCGACGAUCCGUAACUGGUCUGAGAGGAUGAUCAGUCACACUGGAACUGAGACACGGUCCAGACUCCUACGGGAGGCAGCAGUGGGGAAUAUUGGACAAUGGGCGAAAGCCUGAUCCAGCCAUGCCGCGUGUGUGAAGAAGGUCUUCGGAUUGUAAAGCACUUUAAGUUGGGAGGAAGGGCAGUAAGUUAAUACCUUGCUGUUUUGACGUUACCAACGGAAUAAGCACCGGCUAACUUCGUG